GGUUCACAUUUCAUGCCUGGAACAGUGGAUGUCUCAAAGAAGACGCCCUGGCUAUGAUAUAUGCGGCUUUACGUACGAGGUGGAAGAACAGCAGAAGUUUGUUAAUUUUGAAGCUGCACAGCCUGAAGUUCAAAAAGAAAAAUGCCAUAUAUCAGCAUUUGGAUAGUUUGAUGUAGAUCAUCUUCUGAGUGAAAGACCGACAACUUGCAAACAUGUGAGCUACAGUGCGGUCUUCAAAAGUCCUGAGCUCGCACCAAUGACUGCAAUUGGACUGGGUAUGAGGAAAAACAUGGGAAAUUUAUGAUGAGAAAUUGAGAAAGGGUUACAAAGAUGGAUGUGCACAGGAAAGGUUUAAAAUUUUCUUCACGUGCUUCAAUGAUAGGGAUGCCUCUGAAGAGAAGCCUCUGUUGAAGACAUUGGCAUGUCUUUACCUGAGGCUCUUAUACUGAUGAAGUCAUAAACUCACGUGAUGUCUGAUAGGGAAGAUGAUAACCUAUGCUCUCUUAGAGUUUAUGGACUGGAACAUGUUUGUAGCAAACACCUGUUCACUGAAAAGAAAACAUAAAAGCAUGCAUACAUUGUGUUACAUUGUGUUGUUCCUUGUUUGUUUGUUUACUGCUAUCUCACACAUGUUCGUUCAUAAACACAUGGAUCA
Molecule: long non-coding RNA, 655 nt
Organism: Ornithodoros turicata
Lineage: Eukaryota; Metazoa; Arthropoda; Arachnida; Ixodida; Argasidae
Exons: 3
Source: RefSeq, a predicted model, not a curated record